CAGUGGUAUGACCUAUCUCCUGCCUUCCUGUUUCAUAACCUUGAGGGGAGCAUAAGGGUAUAUCCCUCUUAACCCAAUCAAUACCAAGUGUAGGACGUCCCUGGAUUUGAUGAUGAACUCGCCGGUGGGGAACCCCUCAAACAUCUACUGAACCUUGUCCUCAGUUAACUAGUUGAAGAACUGCUCCAUCCUACAGCAUCCUUAGGUUGAGCAAACAUGUUUGGAUUGUAAGUCAUUCUUUUAUGGUGAUGGAAAGCUAUAUGGUCAUCCCACGGCCUUCGUGGAAACUCUUGUCGGUAUUGACCCCUUUGGAGAUGCUCUAACAACCAAAAUUGCAGCAGAAAAUUGCAACCCUCAAAGAAUCUAGACCCCUUCUAACAGCGUUGCAAGGCCCGGUACAUAUCUUCAAUGAUUAUAAGGACAAUGGUAUAUGUCUUCCCCUCGAUCCCCUCCAUAAAAGAUUUGGCCACCAUGGCAGCCUGGUAUGGAUUUUAUCCCCUUGGAUUGGGAAUACCAGCAUGCCCAAGAAACACGCAAUGAACACAAAGACCCUACGAUGAACCCAACCUAAGUAAGUGAUUUCGAACUUACCAUCAAAAAUACGAUAGAGCUACUAUGACUGUACUUUCAUAAAGGAAGUCAAAAGGUAUGUAGGAGUUCUUCAAGCACUCCAAAUCAUCAUUUUUCUUCAUCCUCAUCAUCUUAAGGAACCUUCUAGUGGUGUGAUUUUC
Molecule: long non-coding RNA, 731 nt
Filed under: Nicotiana benthamiana
Lineage: Eukaryota; Viridiplantae; Streptophyta; Magnoliopsida; Solanales; Solanaceae
Description: long non-coding RNA (NBEN_LNC020587)
Source: RNAcentral